CAUGCCGCGUGUGUGAAGAAGGCCUUCGGGUUGUAAAGCACUUUCAGUGGUGAGGAAAGGGUGAUAGUUAAUAGCUAUCACAGUUGACGUUAGCCACAGAAGAAGCACCGGCUAACUCCGUGCCAGCCCCCGCGGUGACUGAGCGGGCUGGCAAGGCGCAUA
This 162-nucleotide ribosomal RNA is filed under the name uncultured bacterium. RNAcentral describes it as "partial 16S ribosomal RNA". It matches the Rfam family "Bacterial small subunit ribosomal RNA", at positions 393 to 539 of the family's 1533-position model. The record is from RNAcentral.